RNAcentral lists this long non-coding RNA (1415 nucleotides) under Zonotrichia albicollis (white-throated sparrow). Its description in RNAcentral is "lncRNA (ENSZALG00000003347.1)". Lineage: Eukaryota; Metazoa; Chordata; Aves; Passeriformes; Passerellidae. The record is from RNAcentral.
CUGUAAAUGCCUCACAGCUCCGCUCUGUGUGAUGCAAAUGGCUUUGCAGAAAGAGCCUAUGCCCAAAUUGUUAGUCUAAUAUUGGCCAGGAUAUUGCAGCCAGGCAGGAUGGGAUAUGUAGCAGGGGACAUUUUAAUGUGUCAGAUUAAAACACCUCUGCAAAUCUUGGCUGAGUUCAGGCUCCCAAAGAGCUGCUGUGGAUUCAGGACAGAUUUCAGUUCAAGCAGAAGGGCUGGCUAAUCAUUAAAAUACAUCAUACAGGUAAUCUGGCUCGCACUCCAAGACCUUUAGAGGUAUUUUAACACCCACAGCACUCCAAGUGCUAAAACAGCUUGACCAAAUUUGGCAUUCAGCAUCUCCUGAAAGGAAAACAGAACUCAGAGCAGCAGAAGAGCGAGGCCCUUUCAGUGAUGUGACUUACAGGGGAAAUCAGAGGCUGCUCCUGAGCUGAGCCCCACGUCCCAGAGCUCCCAGCACCCCUGUGAGCACGGAUGAGCAGGGCUGGUGACCGUGGGACAGGGGACAGAGGAGCUGGAGCCAGCCCUGGUGGGGCGUGCUGGCGAGCAGCGCUCACAUAUUAACAGAUUUCCACUCAAACUGGCAAAUAGGGAUGUCUAUGCUCGAGAUGCUGUGUGAAAGCCAAGGCAACAAAAGUCAAAAUGUGCAUGCGAGAAUAUGUGGCACACACAGUAUAUGUCACAAUGUUUACCAUCACUUCAAAACAUGCACCCGCCCACAGCUCUUCACUAGCAGCGUCCUGGAACUUCUCCAAUUGGGAUUUGCUAUAUGAAGCAAAAGUCAAUUAAAAUCAGCCAUUAUUGUACAGAUCAUGAGAUCCAUAGUAGGAGAUCCCAUACUUGUCCCAGAUGCUCAUUAAUAGCAGUGUGUUGUAAACAAUCCAGGACAAUUGCUUGGGGUUUGUAGACUUUUCUGAUGGCUGUGUUUGCUCAGUUAACAUGCAACAUUUUUAAAUGGGUUGGAUUAAAAUUUUUAGCAAAUAUCAAAUUCCCCAGAAACACAGAUCUGUUGCAUUCUGGAACUGUUUCAAAUGUAGGUCAGAGUCAGCGAGGAUGCUUAGCUAGUGAAAACAGAGACAGGGGGAGGAAGAUUUGGGGAAGGGAAAUUCUGCCUGCCCAGCUUGCAGAGGAGCCCAGCUCGCCCACCUUCCCUCCCAGAGCUGCUGAGCUGUGUGACUCAUCCCUGCAUCACUCCAGUGCCACCGCUCCCCUUGGGAAGGCAGCACCUGCGCAGCCUGGGGUCCCUCCCGGCUCCCCUCAGUGCCUCCAGGAGCUGCUCCAUGCAGGUCCUGCUGGUGGUUCUGGAGCCUCUGGUGCCUGCAUCAGUGCAAAUACAAGUUCAAAACGCCCUGGCAGGGCUAGGAGCAUCGCCCUGAAUUCCUGCACACUGAAAACUCC